AUUGAACGCUGGCGGCAUGCUUUACACAUGCAAGUCGAACGGCAGCGCGGGCUUCGGCCUGGCGGCGAGUGGCGAACGGGUGAGUAAUGUAUCGGAACGUGCCCAGUAGCGGGGGAUAGCUCCGCGAAAGCGGGAUUAAUACCGCAUACGCCCUGCGGGGGAAAGCGGGGGACCGAAAGACCUUGCGCUAUUGGAGCGGCCGAUGUCGGAUUAGCUAGUUGGUGGGGUAACGGCUUACCAAGGCGACGAUCCGUAGCUGGUCUGAGAGGACGACCAGCCACACUGGGACUGAGACACGGCCCAGACUCCUACGGGAGGCAGCAGUGGGGAAUUUUGGACAAUGGGGGCAACCCUGAUCCAGCCAUGCCGCGUGCGGGAAGAAGGCCUUCGGGUUGUAAAGCACUUUUGUCAGGGAAGAAACGUUGUGGGCUAAUACCCCGGGGAGAUGACGGUACCGGCAGAAUAAGCACCGGCUAACUACGUG
Molecule: ribosomal RNA, 484 nt
Filed under: uncultured bacterium
Lineage: Bacteria
Description: partial 16S ribosomal RNA
Rfam family: Bacterial small subunit ribosomal RNA
Source: RNAcentral